This is a long non-coding RNA of Hemicordylus capensis (graceful crag lizard), 378 nucleotides long. RefSeq lists it as uncharacterized. Lineage: Eukaryota; Metazoa; Chordata; Lepidosauria; Squamata; Cordylidae. The transcript is spliced from 3 exons. The record is from RefSeq and is a predicted model, not a curated record.
CAGGGGGGCAGCAGGAGAAGCAGAUUUCAUAUGACUGGUUUCCUCCAGAGAAUGACCUCUGGUAGUGUGCGAGACUGCCAGAAGGUUGGUGACCCAGCCAAGAAGGCAUGGAGGCUCUGAUAGUAGAGGUGAACCCAGCAAGUUACCAUGGAGUGUGAGUUCAUUGUCCUGAUAGUGGAGUCCGUGUUUAACCUUGUUAGGGGCAUCCUUCGUGCAACAAAAGACUUUAUCAUACACCCACUUGAGGCACCUACCAAACCAGAAGAAAAGAAUGACUAACAUGGCAUGGGAAGAAGCACCUGCUUUUCUUUGAUGAUGGAAUCUACUGACCCUUCACCUCCACUACCGGCCUAGGGUGUCCACCCACUUGUUGACAAA